This 264-nucleotide ribosomal RNA is filed under the name Triticum aestivum (bread wheat). RNAcentral describes it as "partial small subunit ribosomal RNA". Lineage: Eukaryota; Viridiplantae; Streptophyta; Magnoliopsida; Poales; Poaceae. The record is from RNAcentral.
AUGGCUUCAUCCAAUUCCAGGACAAGGCCGUCGUGCGCGGACCAAGAGGACAUGCCGAAGACGUGGAUGGAGACUAAGUUGGACAAGGAGAAGGAUAAGGAUGUGCCCACACCACCAUGUUGGUGUGGUGAUGUUUGCAAGGUGAAGGUGCCCACUGACCGCAAGAAGUCAUGGACAGAAGGUAGAAGGUUUUUCAUGUGUCCCAAUUAUGCACAUGAUCGUUCUCGGCCAACUAACGCAUAUGACCUACCACUGGUAUGUUAG